GACGAACGCUGGCGGCGUGCUUAACACAUGCAAGUCGAACGGAAAGGCCCUGCUUUGUGGGGUGCUCGAGUGGCGAACGGGUGAGUAACACGUGAGUAACCUGCCCUUGACUUUGGGAUAACUUCAGGAAACUGGGGCUAAUACCGGAUAGGAGCUCCUGCUGCAUGGUGGGGGUUGGAAAGUUUCGGCGGUUGGGGAUGGACUCGCGGCUUAUCAGCUUGUUGGUGGGGUAGUGGCUUACCAAGGCUUUGACGGGUAGCCGGCCUGAGAGGGUGACCGGCCACAUUAGGACUGAGAUACGGCCCAGACUCCUACGGGAGGCAGCAGUGGGGAAUAUUGCACAAUGGGCGGAAGCCUGAUGCAGCAACGCCGCGUGCGGGAUGACGGCCUUCGGGUUGUAAACCGCUUUCGCCUGUGACGAAGCGUGAGUGACGGUAAUGGGUAAAGAAGCACCGGCUAACUACGUG
RNAcentral lists this ribosomal RNA (467 nucleotides) under uncultured bacterium. RNAcentral's name for it is "partial 16S ribosomal RNA". It matches the Rfam family "Bacterial small subunit ribosomal RNA", at positions 28 to 507 of the family's 1533-position model. The record is from RNAcentral.